GAACUUUGAAGACAUUGCCUCAUUAUGUCUUAAGUUCUGAGGCUGCUAUUCAAAAAUCUGAUACCAGUUUGAUUCUAGUUCCUUUUUAAUUGACCUGCUUUACUCACUGGAAGCUUUUAGAAGCUUCUCAUUAUUCCUGGAAGAUGGGGAGCAAUGCAGAACUAUGUAUUAUGGGCAGGCCACUGCUUCAUGCUAGGGGAAUUCACUCAGCCAUGAGGGAUAACUUAGGACAGGCUGUAUAAAGAAUCCAGGUCUUGGGACAGCCAAUGGGAGGCAGAGAAAAGGGCUUUGUGUUCUCUGGCCCCUUCCUAUCCACAGAGAAUUACACCGUGCAUUUCUGCACUGCAUCAAGUGGCCUCUUGGGAGCCAGAUCUUAUGACCUGUGGUGUAGAAUUUUAUCCAAGUCCAGAAGUGGAAGGAGGAUCCAGAACCACUCAGGGAAUCCAGCGAGGCUGAAAGUCUGUGGAUACAUCCAGGGAGGCCAAUCCCAGAGAAGGAAGCAGGGACAAAGGGCCAACGGUGUUUCAAAUCCUGCCUCCAGCGCCAGCCCUGCACUCCUCGGUUUAGCUGCGAGAGACAUGAAAGUCUCCUCCCAGUGUCCACUGGUUUCAGCUUGGGCUUCUAUCACUUGAAGACAAAAGUUCCUGACUAACGCUUAUGACCAAGAAAAAUAUCAAUAAAACCUUUAAAAAUGCUUUAUCCAAUAA
Molecule: non-coding RNA, 707 nt
Organism: Macaca mulatta (Rhesus monkey)
Lineage: Eukaryota; Metazoa; Chordata; Mammalia; Primates; Cercopithecidae
Source: RefSeq, a predicted model, not a curated record